UGUGGAAAAAGUGUAGGAUUCCAUACUAAGGAUUAUUUAUGAGACCAAUUUCAUCACUAAGUAAUAGAAAAAUACUUACAAUUACUCAUUAUGGGACCUAUGUGGGCUAGCUUGUGAACGUUUAUUAUUAUGAAUCUAAAUUAUCAAUUACAAAGACUAACCAUCUAUAACAUCACCAAAUGAAAACAAAUUGCUAAAUGUGAAGCAAAGAGUGCAGUAGAUAUGCAUAAUCUAAUAUUUUUAGUUUUGCACCUAUCACAAUAAUUCACUAUAGUCCUAGACGACAAGAGAUGCCAAUAAAACUUUCAAUGUCAUAAGAACAAAAUCAAGCCUGCGAAGAAACAUAUACUGCCCCAUACUUAAAUUGGUACUUGAGCACUUAAUUUUCCAACCAUUUUUCAUAUCAGACACCGAUACAAAUUAAAUUAGAUCAUAUUCUUAUGAAGAACAAAGUUCAAUCAUACCACAAAUUCAAUAAUUAAAACUUUAAACAUUCUAAAAAUCUACUUGAAAUAACAGAUAUGGAAAAACAUGAAACCAGAGAAAAGAGAAAAAAAGAAGCUAAUCGACUUGAAAGAAUACAAGAAUUGAAAGCAUAAACAUAGUUGAGUUUUCAAUUCCUUAAUAUGCCUAUCUUUUCCAUACAAACAUGAUUCAUAUCCACUUGGUAAUCCCAAUUUCAAGAGGAGUACCUGAUUAUAGCAAAAGCAACAGAGUAGAAAAUAAGUCUGAGGUUUGAAUGAAGCAGCAACAAUCAGAACAACAAUAGUAGAAGCAACGAUAGUAGAACCAAUAAUUUCCUCAAACCACACCAGCUUUAAAACCCAAAACUUAUGCAAUAAACCAAUUAGGUUGACAUAAAACUUUAAAACUUCUCUUUUUGAUUGCCUUUUCUUAUGUUUUUGGAGUAUUUGUGCUAUUAAAGCUCAGAUUUGGAGCUUAGAAUUCAUAGCAGUUGGAUCCCUUCUUUUUCUGUCUCAGAUACCCCUCUAAAAAUGAGUGAAAUGAGCUUUUAUAGCAGGAUUCUAGGGCAGCAAGACCUGAUUUUCUUAAUUCAUUCUCACCUCUCUUCAAUUCUAUUUUUGUUCAUUUGGAUCCUCAAUCCUUAACCAAUUUGUUUAAUCAGCCCAUUCCCCACUUUUCUAGAACCUUCCUAGGUAGUUGUGAAAGAUUCUUUCAAUCUAAAUCUCGUAAAUACCCUUUAAACAUAUGUUAUAUACCUUUCAAAAAUACCAGAAAUCUGGGCUAUAUAGCCAAACAUGCUCAAUACUCUCUUUGGGUUUCUGUACUAACAAGCCCAAUUCUAAAUCCAAACCAAUAAUUAGAAACAAGUUCAAUGGAGGUUUAAAUAAACAACCUCUGAAUUAAACGAAAAAGCAGAUUUUAAAAAAGCACUCAAAAGACGAUAAUACAUUGACAAAUAGGAUUAAACUAAUUAUUAAGUUAUCAAUUAUGAAUUAGAAACAACUUAGAAACAACUUAGACAUAAAUUUUAUAUCAUAUGAGGGGUUAUGGAAAGAGGAAAAAAGGUAUACUAACCAGUUUGCUAAAGAUUCCGAUGACCCGGAGAAAACCAAUGGCACGUCAAUUACAAAUUCGGUGAAUAAGGAUUUCGGCUAAUGAUGGGAACUGUAACAUGAUCACUUGCCGGAAUUCUUCAACGGCUAGUGCUCUAUGUUACUAUCAAGCAGAGGCUCAAAGUAUUUUGGACCAUCAAUGGCUGCUCGCCCAGAAUCCAACCACCGUGAGACCAGUUGGAACCAAAGCCAAUUGAUUCAGGUUUGUUCAACAUCAAGAAGAGGCCAGAUUAGAAGGAAAUUAGAAAAAGAGGCGAAAGAGACUUUAUUGGUAUCUUUACAUCUCUAAUUUAGAGAAGAUGCGUGAUUUUUGGAAGGAAAUAGCGGUGGAUUUGGAGUGAAUGGACGAUGAGGGUUAUGUGGUCAAGAUUUGAGGGAGUUUGGAGACCAACCACCGCCACAAGAGAUUUUCGGUGGGUGGCGGACGCUGGUGAGAGAUAAGGUGUAGGGGAGAUG
This 2033-nucleotide long non-coding RNA is filed under the name Nicotiana tabacum (common tobacco). RNAcentral's name for it is "long non-coding RNA (NTAB_LNC000446)". The record is from RNAcentral. Lineage: Eukaryota; Viridiplantae; Streptophyta; Magnoliopsida; Solanales; Solanaceae.